RNAcentral lists this long non-coding RNA (370 nucleotides) under Linum usitatissimum (flax). Its description in RNAcentral is "long non-coding RNA (LUSI_LNC003970)". The record is from RNAcentral. Lineage: Eukaryota; Viridiplantae; Streptophyta; Magnoliopsida; Malpighiales; Linaceae.
GGGUAUUCUGGUCACCAAUCCAGAUCCGGUUUGGGAUCGGGAAGUACUCCGGCCGCGUGAUCCGCCCAAGGUGAAAUAUCCUCACCUCGAAUUCAUGAAAAUCGAUGAUGGAUCUAGCUUGACGUUGAGUCUCUGGAAAGAAAAGCCUGUCCAGAGGUGUUACAGAGUUAGCAGAGAGUUCCAAGCUCGACUCAAAGGCUUAGCUCAAUCCAGCGAAAGAUUAAUUACCUGCACCACUUUCGACGCCAUGGCUGCACACAUCUGGAGAUCCUGGGUUAAAGCCUUGGAUGUGAAACCUUUAGAUUAUAGGCUCCGCCUAACGUUCUCGGUCAAUGCUCGACAGAAAUUGAAGAACCCGCCGUUGAGAGAC